UGAUGCUCUUCCUGUCUGCCUGCACAGCACAGUUUUGUGACCUGAUUCAAAUUCGUUGCAGGAACUUUGCUGACGAGCCCAAUCGAAGGUGGAAGAGAAGGCACGGAAGCCAAAAAGAAUUUGGAAAUCAAAUACAUUUUAAUUGGAUGUGGCAUCGGUCUGCUUUUGACCCUUUUUAUGAUCAUCAAGUACUGCAUGAUCAGAAAACACAUGCAAGACAAAAGAUCCGAAGAGCAGACCACUUUUAUUUAGAUGGGAGGAGCCGCAUGAUUUGAAAAGAGAAUAAACCAACAACCGUGGAGCCCAUGCUGUAGAUAGACGUGCCCUGUAUUGUUGCUGUCCCGCUGCUCUACUGACACACAUACUGCACGCUCUUUAUUUGGCCUACUCAGCACGAGUGUCCAGCAUGAAAAAAAAAAGAAGAAAAAGUUGCCUGCCACAAGGGGACAGCAGUACACAUGGAGAACUUUUCAAAGACGGCUCUAUGCUGAGGGCUCUAUUAGUUUUGUUGAAGAUUAAACACAAUCGGAGCAGACAUUUAUACAUUUUCAAAUAGCAGCCUAAUUUUUUUCAAAUAUAAAGAGUUACAAAUUUAAUGCAAUACAUUCCAUGUCGGAAAUACUGUUACACCGCAUUCAAAGAACUAAUCAUUCAGUAACAUGACAAAAUGUUGCCAACCAUUUGACUACUGUCAAGGAAUUAUCAUAAAG
Syngnathoides biaculeatus (alligator pipefish) is the source of this 710-nucleotide long non-coding RNA. RefSeq lists it as uncharacterized. The transcript is spliced from 3 exons. NCBI's taxonomy places the organism in Eukaryota, Metazoa, Chordata, Actinopteri, Syngnathiformes, Syngnathidae. The record is from RefSeq and is a predicted model, not a curated record.